This is a long non-coding RNA of Lycium barbarum (goji berry), 600 nucleotides long. RefSeq lists it as uncharacterized. The record is from RefSeq and is a predicted model, not a curated record. Lineage: Eukaryota; Viridiplantae; Streptophyta; Magnoliopsida; Solanales; Solanaceae. The transcript is spliced from 3 exons.
UAAGUUGUACAUGAAUUAAUUGGCUUGGAGUAAUUAGAAAAUUUGGGACCAAAUGUGAUAUAGUUGAAGGUUAAAAAUCUUGCAAUAUUUGGCCCUUUGGCCGUGUGGUCCGUUAAAUGGUCCCACACCUUGUGUGGCCAAUUUUAUUUGGUCCAACACAUGUGUGGGCCCAAGGACACAUGGAGAAAAUUGUGUGGAACUUAAAAGAUGACUUUCAAGUCAUCUUCUUUCAUUUACACUUAGCAAAAAAAAUCAAGGAAAUUGGAGAGCAACAACAACACCACUCACGGCCAAGAACAAGGGAAAACCAAGUUCAAUUUGAGCCACCCCAAAAUUAUUUCCUUGGUACAAACCCACUAUUUGGAGGUCCCUAAGUAGCGUGGAAGCAUUGUUGGAGCGAUCAAGUCAUUCGUUUAAGAGAUCGCAAACCCUAACCCAUUGUGGAAUUGAAGAAGAAAGACCUUGGGGAGCCCGAGGCGUAGAUUGGGAUUAACUUUAGAUUGGCUAGCUUGGAGUGCGUACGAGGUACAGACGCACAGUUUGGUGAUCCACCAGUUUAGGACACCCUCUUUUGUUGUUCGGAGUGCUCUUCUCAUUCCA